GACGAACGCUGGCGGCGUGCUUAACACAUGCAAGUCGAACGGAAAGGCCCUGCUUUUGUGGGGUGCUCGAGUGGCGAACGGGUGAGUAACACGUGAGUAACCUGCCCUUGACUUUGGGAUAACUUCAGGAAACUGGGGCUAAUACCGGAUAGGAGCUCCUGCUGCAUGGUGGGGGUUGGAAAGUUUCGGCGGUUGGGGAUGGACUCGCGGCUUAUCAGCUUGUUGGUGGGGUAGUGGCUUACCAAGGCUUUGACGGGUAGCCGGCCUGAGAGGGUGACCGGCCACAUUGGGACUGAGAUACGGCCCAGACUCCUACGGGAGGCAGCAGUGGGGAAUAUUGCACAAUGGGCGGAAGCCUGAUGCAGCAACGCCGCGUGCGGGAUGACGGCCUUCGGGUUGUAAACCGCUUUCGCCUGUGACGAAGCGUGAGUGAAGGUAAUGGGUAAAGAAGCACCGGCUAACUACGUGCCAGCAGCCGCGGUGAUACGUAGGGUGCGAGCGUUGUCCGGAUUUAUUGGGCGUAAAGGGCUCGUAGGUGGUUGAUCGCGUCGGAAGUGUAAUCUUGGGGCUUAACCCUGAGCGUGCUUUCGAUACGGGUUGACUUGAGGAAGGUAGGGGAGAAUGGAAUUCCUGGUGGAGCGGUGGAAUGCGCAGAUAUCAGGAGGAACACCAGUGGCGAAGGCGGUUCUCUGGGCCUUUCCUGACGCUGAGGAGCGAAAGCGUGGGGAGCGAACAGGCUUAGAUACCCUGGUAGUCCACGCUGUAAACGGUGGGUACUAGGUGUGGGGUCCAUUCCACGGGUUCCGUGCCGUAGCUAACGCUUUAAGUACCCCGCCUGGGGAGUACGGCCGCAAGGCUAAAACUCAAAGGAAUUGACGGGGCCCCGCACAAGCGGCGGAGCAUGCGGAUUAAUUCGAUGCAACGCGUAGAACCUUACCUGGGUUUGACAUGGAUCGGGAGCGCUCAGAGAUGGGUGUGCCUCUUUUGGGGUCGGUUCACAGGUGGUGCAUGGCUGUCGUCAGCUCGUGUCGUGAGAUGUUGGGUUAAGUCCCGCAACGAGCGCAACCCUUGUUCACUGUUGCCAGCACGUUAUGGUGGGGACUCAGUGGAGACCGCCGGGGUCAACUCGGAGGAAGGUGGGGAUGACGUCAAGUCAUCAUGCCCCUUAUGUCCAGGGCUUCACGCAUGCUACAAUGGCUGGUACAGAGAGUGGCGAGCCUGUGAGGGUGAGCGAAUCUCGGAAAGCCGGUCUCAGUUCGGAUUGGGGUCUGCAACUCGACCUCAUGAAGUCGGAGUCGCUAGUAAUCGCAGAUCAGCAACGCUGCGGUGAAUACGUUCCCGGG
Molecule: ribosomal RNA, 1343 nt
Filed under: uncultured bacterium
Lineage: Bacteria
Description: 16S ribosomal RNA
Rfam family: Bacterial small subunit ribosomal RNA
Source: RNAcentral